Carassius carassius (crucian carp) is the source of this 731-nucleotide long non-coding RNA. RefSeq lists it as uncharacterized. The record is from RefSeq and is a predicted model, not a curated record. NCBI's taxonomy places the organism in Eukaryota, Metazoa, Chordata, Actinopteri, Cypriniformes, Cyprinidae. The transcript is spliced from 4 exons.
CCUACACUCUAAAAACGGCUGGGUUAUUUUUUAACCCAAAAUGUUGGGCUGAGUCUGUUGGGUCAUUUUGUUGGGUUAUUUUAUUUCUUUUUAAACACUUUUGGGUAGUUUCAAUUUACCAGGUGUUGGGUUAAACCUGUUGGGUUGCGUCGCUGGGUUGUUUCAGGCCAGCGCUGGGUUAUUUAACGCGCCUUGAAGAUGUUUAAAUUGCUCCCCAACUGACAUUUUGGAAGAACAACGGGGCAAAGCCACGGCUUUCAACUGUUUUAAGAAAAGCACAUGGAUACAUUUGUGAGAGAAAAACUCAUCGAGUGCAGUCUUAUUGAGGCGUAUAACAGUUGGAACAAACAUGGAAUUCCUUAACCAAGCAGAGUCCACAAAACCCCAUCCAAUUGUAGUGGCGAUUUAAAAAAUGCCAGCAGAUCUCUCAGACAUUGAUCAUAAUCAAUGGACAGGUCACCGUGGCCACCAGAUCCAGUCUGUGUCCAGAUCAGAGGGUCACUGCAGUCACCCGGAUCCAGUACGUAUCCAGACCAGAUGGUGGAUCAGCACCUAGAAAGGACCUCUACAUCCCUGAAAGACAGCGGAGACCAGGACAACUAGAGCCCCAGAUACAGAUCCCCUGUAAAAACCUUGUCUCAGAGGACCACCAGGACAAGACCACAGGAAACAGAUGAUUCUUCUGCACAAUCUGACUUUGCUGCAGCCUGGAAUUGAACUACUGGUUUCGU